Molecule: ribosomal RNA, 238 nt
Filed under: uncultured bacterium
Lineage: Bacteria
Description: partial 16S ribosomal RNA
Rfam family: Bacterial small subunit ribosomal RNA
Source: RNAcentral
CGGCGGACGGGUGAGUAACGCGUGGGUAACCUGCCUCGUACAGGGGGAUAACAGUUGGAAACGGCUGCUAAUACCGCAUAAGCGCACGGCAUCGCAUGAUGCAGUGUGAAAAACUCCGGUGGUAUAAGAUGGACCCGCGUUGGAUUAGCUAGUUGGUGAGGUAACGGCCCACCAAGGCGACGAUCCAUAGCCGACCUGAGAGGGUGACCGGCCACAUUGGGACUGAGACACGGCCCAA